UACAGAGGUCUCAAGCGUUGUUCGGAUUCAUUGGGCGUAAAGGGCGCGUAGGCGGCCUUGUAAGUCCCGUGUGAAAUCCCUCGGCUCAACUGAGGAACUGCACGGGAAACUGCUUGGCUUGAGUUCGGGAGAGGGAAGCGGAAUUCCGGGUGUAGCGGUGAAAUGCGUAGAUAUCCGGAGGAACACCGGUGGCGAAGGCGGCUUCCUGGACCGACACUGACGCUGAGGCGCGAAAGCUAGGGGAGCAAACGGG
This 253-nucleotide ribosomal RNA is filed under the name uncultured bacterium. Its description in RNAcentral is "partial 16S ribosomal RNA". It matches the Rfam family "Bacterial small subunit ribosomal RNA", at positions 524 to 776 of the family's 1533-position model. The record is from RNAcentral.